This 321-nucleotide small nuclear RNA is filed under the name Sorex araneus (European shrew). RNAcentral describes it as "7SK RNA (ENSSARG00000015485.1)". It matches the Rfam family "7SK RNA". From Rfam's summary of the family: 7SK was discovered as an abundant small nuclear RNA in the mid-70s but a possible function has only recently been suggested. Two independent studies have found that 7SK RNA binds the CDK9/cyclin T complex (known as elongation factor P-TEFb). The record is from RNAcentral. Lineage: Eukaryota; Metazoa; Chordata; Mammalia; Eulipotyphla; Soricidae.
GGACGUGAGGGCAAUCUGGUUGUGACAUCUGUCACCCCAUUGAUCACCAGGGUUGAUUUGGCUGAUCUGGCUGGCUAGGUGGGUGUCCCCUUCCUCCCUCACCGUUCCAUGCGCAUCCCUCCCAAGGCUGCACGCUCAGUGGAAGAGGACAGCCUUCCCCAAUAGAGAAGGACUGCUCUUUGGUCGAGGGUAUAUGAGUAGCUGGGCUCCCCUGCUAGAAUCUCCAAACAAGCUCUCAAGUGGGAAAGUUUACACAGAGAAAUUGACAAACAUUGUAAAUCUGGGCUUAUUUUAAUAUUCCUUGAUGGUCUAAACUUAAGG